GAGCCUAAACCCUAACAUCAUUUCUUUUCUUUCUAGCAGCCCCUAAGCCUCUCUUCUCCAAUACCAAGCCACAACCAUGUCAAUGGCCGACAUCCUCAGGCUACAUGCGAACACUUUGUGGCCUUGAGGUUCCCCUUUAGUCUCCGAUUUCGGCGAAGCAAAGGAGAACCGAUAGCCUAUUUUCCAGGUAAGGUUUCGUCUCAUUUUUCUUUUAUUUAUAUGUAAAGAACGAAAAAGAAAAUCAAAAAGGGAAAUCGAGAGAGAAAAGAGCGUAAUAAACCCCGGAGAUUCAAAAGCAGAAGAUCACCUUGUUCUAUUUUUUUGCUUUCUAUUCCUUCUGAAUGUAUGUGUAUUCUCUGUGAACGUAAAUGUGCGUAAAAAAUACAAUGAGCCAGAACUUUGGCUUUAUAUCCGAAACAGAAUAAGAAAGAUUCAAAAAUAAAUCAAAAUCAAAAUACAAAUUCCUCUUUUCGUAUUUGCUGUUGUGUGGUUUUGUCUGUUUCUUCGCAGGUACGGAGGCCCAUUGGCGUGUGUACGAGGCUGUACUGGCGUACGAGGGCUGUUGACGUGGAGGCACGAGCGGUGUUGAGGCUGUACGACGGUUGAAGGCUGCGGCGCGAGGAGUGAGCCCUAGGGUUUCUGCUCUUGAAAUGUUUCGGGCCUUUUUGGGCCGAUGUAACUUGGGUCUAGGUUUAUCCAUAAAUGGGUUUGUUAUUUGGGUCUUGGGUCUGUUGUGAUUUAAAUUUGUCUUGUAUUUGGGCUAGAUUUUAGUUAGGGCUGUGCACGGUAAAUGGACUGUAAAGGGACAUUUAAUUUUUAUUUGGGUUUUAUACUUAUUUUUUGGUUUAUUUUGUUUUGUUUUGUGUUUGCAAUGGGUCGGGAAAAUUUGGCCUGCUACAACAAGUUAUGAAGUUGAGCAAUACCAAACACUAGUGGACGCCACUUAAGGCACUCCUCAAAAUUAUCUCAACAAUUUUUUUUUUAAAUUAUAAUUUUUGUAUUUUUUUAAAAAAUACGAAUAUGGUAAAAAGGUAAAUGUUGAUGAUUAUGAUAAAGAAAUAACAUGGGCAAUUUCCUUGAAAAGUAAAUAAGAACUAUUUACUAAUUGUAUUAUAAUAAAAUUGUAAUGUUUUAGCAAGGUUGCCACUAAAUCAAGUGAGACUAAAUUCAAUCAGCAAUGUUUUAAGAGUACAAAUUGGGUUAAGGCCCUGAAAUAAUUAAGGGUAUUUCAAGCCCAAAAAUUUAGUGGAACUGCCUUCAUCAAACAGAC
RNAcentral lists this long non-coding RNA (1270 nucleotides) under Gossypium barbadense (sea-island cotton). Its description in RNAcentral is "long non-coding RNA (GBAR_LNC007752)". The record is from RNAcentral. Lineage: Eukaryota; Viridiplantae; Streptophyta; Magnoliopsida; Malvales; Malvaceae.